GAUCCUGCCUCAGGAUGAACGCUAGCUACAGGCUUAACACAUGCAAGUCGAGGGGAAACGACAUCGAAAGCUUGCUUUUGAUGGGCGUCGACCGGCGCACGGGUGAGUAACGCGUAUCCAACCUGCCCAUCACUUGGGAAUAACCUUGCGAAAGUAGGACUAAUGCCCAAUGAUAUCCCACGAAGGCAUCCGAAUGGGAUUAAAGAUUUAUCGGUGAUGGAUGGGGAUGCGUCUGAUUAG
This 240-nucleotide ribosomal RNA is filed under the name uncultured bacterium. RNAcentral's name for it is "partial 16S ribosomal RNA". It matches the Rfam family "Bacterial small subunit ribosomal RNA", at positions 15 to 244 of the family's 1533-position model. The record is from RNAcentral.